This 1498-nucleotide long non-coding RNA is filed under the name Astyanax mexicanus (Mexican tetra). RNAcentral's name for it is "lncRNA (ENSAMXG00005002945.1)". The record is from RNAcentral. Lineage: Eukaryota; Metazoa; Chordata; Actinopteri; Characiformes; Acestrorhamphidae.
AGCUAGCUAGUUAUUUUUUUAUUUAAGUAGGUAGUGAGCUAGCUAGUUAGUUAUUUAGUUAAGUAGGUAGUGAGCUAGCUAGUUAUUUUUUUAUUUAAGUAGGUAGUGAGCUAGCUAGUUAGUUAUUUAGUUAAGUAGGUAGUGAGCUAGCUAGUUAUUUUUUCAUUUAAGUAGGUAGUGAGCUAGCUAGUUAUUUUUUUAUUUACAUAGGUAGUGAGCUAGCUAGUUAGUUAUUUAGUUAAGUAGGUAGUGAGCUAGCUAGUUAUUUUUUUAUUUACAUAGGUAGUGAGCUAGCUAGUUAGUUAUUUAGUUAAUUAGUUAGCCAGUUAGUCAGUCAGCAUCCUGAAGUGAAAAUUGGAAGACAGCAAGGUGUCUAACAUCCACCAGCUCCUUGAUUUUAUGUGAGGCGUGUACUCACAUUCAUCCAUCCAUCUCCCUAUUCUCCCUAGUUUUACCCAACAAUAAAACUAGUUACAGGUUUAAUUUUUGCAUAAAUCCUCACUCUGCUGAUUCAACCCUUUCAGAGACGAUUGUGUGUGUAUGUGUGUGUGUGCGCGAGUGUGAUCUAGCAGAUGCCUUCAGCCUGCCUCGCUCUCCCUAAAAGGACCGGCACUCCUCCGCUCCCCGACCGCGGCCCAGGCAACCGUUGCCACGGCAACCACGCUGAGAUGGCAUCCUCUGACUCCAGCUGACUGUAACGCUCCUCCUUCCCCUCCUCCACCACCUCUCUCAUUCUCACUCUCUAUCUCUCUCUCUCUCAUUAUAUUUCACUCUCUUAAAAUUUACAUCCAUCUCUCUCUUUUUCUCUCUCUCUCACUUUUUUCUUUCUCACUUCAUGCAUCCAUCUACCUCUCACUCUUACUAGCUUUCUCUUUCUCACUUCAUACAUCCACCCAUCUCUGUCUCUCACUCUUUCUCUCUCUGUCUUUAUAUGUAUCUCUCUUUUACACUCUCUCUCUCUUGUCUCUCUCUCUCUGUAUUACGAGCGUGUUCCCAGGACCCCAUGGACACCAUCAAACCUGCUGCAUCUUCGCCCAUACUCUCUCUCCAUUCUCCAGUGAGAAUAGCAGGCCCACACGCACCGAGGCGCAGAUGUGUCGUCUGUGACCUUUCGAUGUGGCGGUCAAGGAUUGUCGGCGAGUGGAGUGUCUUGUCACCUGCUAGAGAAUCUAACACACUUCGCUUGAUCAGCACAACAUACUACUGUCAUGUUGUCCUUGGGGCAGGAUGGCGAGUGUGAGUUGUGAGAGUGCUAGUGAACGCUAAUAGCCUCUGACAGACACGACCACAGCCUUCUGCUGGUCAAUGCCUGAUCUCCUCUGCAGCGCGGCGAGGCUGUGCUGAUGCUACGCCUCGGCGGGCGGGUGCAGACAGGGAGCUUUCAACAUCAGACACUGUUCAACACCCUGGAUAAAGGGUGUCAUCACAAACACACAAACACACACACACUUCUUUAUGUGUGAAUACUGAAGUCUGUGAAGGAACAUGAAAGAAAUUA